UGGGAACAUGCCUUGAGGUGGGGGACAACAGUUGGAAACGACUGCUAAUACCGCAUAAUGUCUACGGACCAAAGGGGGCUUCGGCUCUCGCCUUUAGAUUGGCCCAAGUGGGAUUAGCUAGUUGGUGAGGUAAUGGCUCACCAAGGCAACGAUCCCUAGCUGGUUUGAGAGGAUGAUCAGCCACACUGGAACUGAGACACGGUCCAGACUCCUACGGGAGGCAGCAGUGGGGAAUAUUGCACAAUGGGCGCAAGCCUGAUGCAGCCAUGCCGCGUGUGUGAAGAAGGCCUUCGGGUUGUAAAGCACUUUCAGUCAGGAGGAAAGAUUAGUAGUUAAUACCUGCUAGCUGUGACGUUACUGACAGAAGAAGCACCGGCUAACUCCGUGCCAGCAGCCGCGGUAAUACGGAGGGUGCGAGCGUUAAUCGGAAUUACUGGGCGUAAAGCGUACGCAGGCGGUUUGUUAAGCGAGAUGUGAAAGCCCCGGGCUCAACCUGGGAACUGCAUUUCGAACUGGCAAACUAGAGUGUGAUAGAGGGUGGUAGAAUUUCA
RNAcentral lists this ribosomal RNA (551 nucleotides) under Pseudoalteromonas sp. J2125s. RNAcentral describes it as "bacterial SSU rRNA". It matches the Rfam family "Bacterial small subunit ribosomal RNA", at positions 118 to 671 of the family's 1533-position model. The record is from RNAcentral. Lineage: Bacteria; Pseudomonadati; Pseudomonadota; Gammaproteobacteria; Alteromonadales; Pseudoalteromonadaceae.